Neltuma alba is the source of this 237-nucleotide long non-coding RNA. RefSeq lists it as uncharacterized. The record is from RefSeq and is a predicted model, not a curated record. Lineage: Eukaryota; Viridiplantae; Streptophyta; Magnoliopsida; Fabales; Fabaceae. The transcript has 3 exons.
GAGAGAAGUGCGUCGCCGGCGAAGUGGUGAUCGGAGGGGGGAAGUUUACACGCAAUAGUGUUUUCUGACUGAGGUUUUGAUAUCUGCAAAAACCCACUGAGGAAGCUAAAAGAAGGGAAGAAAGUAAGGUUUAAUUUCGAAGUAGGAGUCUCAGCAAAGGUGAGCAGCUCUAAGGAAAAGAAGAUUGUAAGAGAAGAAGGUGGGCAGUUAUGAAGAGCAAGAAUGCCCGCAUUAUCU